GAUGAACGCUGGCGGCGUGCCUAAUACAUGCAAGUCGAGCGAACAGAUGAGGAGCUUGCUCCUCUGACGUUAGCGGCGGACGGGUGAGUAACACGUGGAUAACCUACCUAUAAGACUGGGAUAACUUCGGGAAACCGGAGCUAAUACCGGAUAAUAUAUUGAACCGCAUGGUUCAAUAGUGAAAGACGGUUUUGCUGUCACUUAUAGAUGGAUCCGCGCCGCAUUAGCUAGUUGGUAAGGUAACGGCUUACCAAGGCAACGAUGCGUAGCCGACCUGAGAGGGUGAUCGGCCACACGUGAACUGAGACACGGUCCAGACUCCUACGGGAGGCAGCAGUAGGGAAUCUUCCGCAAUGGGCGAAAGCCUGACGGAGCAAAGCCGCGUGAGUGAUGAAGGUCUUCGGAUCGUAAAACUCUGUUAUUAGGGAAGAACAAAUGUGUAAGUAACUAUGCACGUCUUGACGGUACCUAAUCAGAAAGCCACGGCUAACUACGUG
RNAcentral lists this ribosomal RNA (497 nucleotides) under uncultured bacterium. RNAcentral describes it as "partial 16S ribosomal RNA". It matches the Rfam family "Bacterial small subunit ribosomal RNA", at positions 28 to 507 of the family's 1533-position model. The record is from RNAcentral.